RNAcentral lists this transfer RNA (64 nucleotides) under Claassenia magna. RNAcentral's name for it is "tRNA-Leu". Lineage: Eukaryota; Metazoa; Arthropoda; Insecta; Plecoptera; Perlidae. The record is from RNAcentral.
UCUAAUAUGGCAGACAAGUGCAAUGGAUUUAAGCUCCAUAUAUAAAGGCUACCUUUUAUUAGAA